Molecule: ribosomal RNA, 432 nt
Filed under: Pediococcus acidilactici
Lineage: Bacteria; Bacillati; Bacillota; Bacilli; Lactobacillales; Lactobacillaceae
Description: bacterial SSU rRNA
Rfam family: Bacterial small subunit ribosomal RNA
Source: RNAcentral
UCCUCGGGAGGCACCCCGUACAGAAUGUACCUAAACGGAGCCAAGUCCGACAGAGCACCGCCGCGUGAGUGAAGAAGGGUUUCGGUUGGUAAAGAUCUGUUGUUAAAGAAGAACGUGGGUGAGAGAUAUUGUUCACCCAGUGACGGUAUCCAACCAGAAAGCCCCGGCUAAUUCCGUGCCAGCACCCGCGUUAAUACGUAGGUGGCAAGCGUUAUCCGGAUUUAUUGGGGGUAAAACGAGCGCAGGCGGUGUUUUUAGUAUAAUGUGAAAACCUUCGGCUCAACCGAAGAAGAUCAUAGGAAACUGGGAGACUUGAGUGCAGAAGAGGACAGGGGAACUCCACGUGUAGCGGUGAAAUGCGUAGAUAUAUGGAGGAACACCAGGGGGGAAGGGGGCUCUCUGGUCAAAAACUGACGCUGAGGCUCGAAAGCA